AGGGUUUUAAACCUUAAACUGAGCUUUUCCAUGCAAUCAGCAUUAGGGUUUUAAACCCUGAACUGAAUUUUUCCUUUAGUCAGCAUUAGGGUUUUAAACCCUGAACUGAAUUUUUUUUCCAUUCAGCCAGCAUUAGGGUUUUAAACCCUAAACUGAACUUUUUUCCAUUCAGCCAGCAUUAGGGUUUUAAACCCUAAACUGAGCUUUUCCAUGCAAUCAGCAUUAGGUUUUAAACCCUAAACUGAAUUUUUCCUUUAGUCAGCAUUAGGGUUUUAAACCCUAAACUGAAUUUUUCAUGCAAUCAGCAUUAGGGUUUUAAACCCUAAACUGAAUUUUUCCUUUAGCCAGCAUUAGGGUUUUAAACCCUGAACUGAAUUUUUCCUUUAGUCAGCAUUAGGGUUUUAAACCCUGAACUGAAUUUUUUUUUUCCAUUCAGCCAGCAUUAGGGUUCUAAACCCUAAACUGAGCUUUUCCAUGCAAUCAGCAUUAGGGUUUUAAACCCUGAACUGAAUUUUUCCUUUAGUCAGCAUUAGGGUUUUAAACCCUAAACUGAAUUUUUUCCUUUCAGCCAGCAUUAGGGUUUUAAACCCUAACUGAGCUUUUCCAUGCAAUUAGCAUUAGGGUUUUAAACCCUAAACUGAACUCUUUCCAUUCAGCCAGCAUUAGGGUUUUAAACCCUAAACUGAGCUUUUUCCAUGCAUGUCAGCAUUAGGGUUUUAAACCCUAAACUGAACUCUUUCCUUUAGUCAGCAUUAGGGUUUUAAACCCUGAACUGAACUUUUUCCUUUAAUCAGCAUUAGGGUUUUAAACCCUAAACCGAACUUUUCCCCAGUUGGUCAGUAUUAGAGUUUCAACUCUAAACUGAACCUUUCCCCAGCUAGACGAUAUCAGGGCUCCAACCCUGAACUGAGCA
RNAcentral lists this long non-coding RNA (913 nucleotides) under Nicotiana tabacum (common tobacco). Its description in RNAcentral is "long non-coding RNA (NTAB_LNC016515)". Lineage: Eukaryota; Viridiplantae; Streptophyta; Magnoliopsida; Solanales; Solanaceae. The record is from RNAcentral.